AGUGGGAAUUAAACCAACCAUCCAAUUGUUAACCAACGGCUCAAUUUCGACCGUUCCUAUGGGGCAGGCCCAAUUUCGACCGUUCCUAUGGGGCAGGUCCUGAUUUCCCAAGUACUGGAAAUUAAAGUAACGGUCCAAUUUUUAAACCAAUGGCCCAAUUUCGAACCAAUUUGUGUGGGGCAGGUCCUGAUUUCGAAUCCGACCCUGGGUAGGAUUGAUAGGUCCAGAAAAUUAGCAACCAUAAUAUAAGAUAGGGUCAUUCUUGCUGCAAAGAUGCUGUA
RNAcentral lists this long non-coding RNA (281 nucleotides) under Elaeis guineensis (African oil palm). RNAcentral describes it as "long non-coding RNA (EGUI_LNC035504)". Lineage: Eukaryota; Viridiplantae; Streptophyta; Magnoliopsida; Arecales; Arecaceae. The record is from RNAcentral.